This 67-nucleotide transfer RNA is filed under the name Haematopinus tuberculatus. RNAcentral's name for it is "tRNA-Glu". The record is from RNAcentral. Lineage: Eukaryota; Metazoa; Arthropoda; Insecta; Psocodea; Haematopinidae.
UUUUCAGAAGUUUAAAUUGUAAAUGGCUUAAUUUCACUGGGCAGAUUGGGUUUAUACCCCUGAAAAA